Long non-coding RNA from Asterias rubens (European starfish), 747 nucleotides. RefSeq lists it as uncharacterized. Lineage: Eukaryota; Metazoa; Echinodermata; Asteroidea; Forcipulatida; Asteriidae. The record is from RefSeq and is a predicted model, not a curated record. The transcript has 2 exons.
CAUGCAAGAGAGCUGCUCACGUCGACGACAGGUCGCAAGGAAAAAGAAGAAGAAGCCGCCAUUUAUAUGCAUCAUGCCAACACACACACACUGCACACAGCGUGUAUUGAUUGAUGAAAGGCAAUGACACUUUUGUAAACAAAUGAUUUGCACCGGCCGAAUAUUCGAUGAAAUCAGUAGCCUUGCUCAAGGCAGUGGUGAUGGUUGGUGCAUACUGUGUUGGCAUCAUGAAAUCAAAACAGGGUCACAUGGCAGCCUGACAGUGCAAGGGAAACACUCCUCGUUUAAGAAGGAAGUUCGUUCCACCCCUACCCCUAAGCUGCUGUAAAAACUGUGAAAGUUUGAUCUCCUGCCUUACUGCGAGUCAUGGGAAAAGUUAGCCGAGAUGGAUCUGCAUUGGAGUGAAGAUGUGUACGCAAAAACUGAUACAACUCUAGACACUCAUUAAAUUACUCUGGUGCCUGAUUUAAAAAGAAAUGUUCAUACAAAUAAAAUAAUCUUAAUUGCAAUCCUCUGUUUAAUUGGUAACCAAUGAAGCGAUCUUAGAAGGAGCAUGGCAUCACGACGGCGAUUUAACCUAAAUAUAACACGAGCAGCCCAGUUCUGCAAACUGUGAAGUCUCUUUUAAAAUAUGCAUGUGGGUUUUCUGUAAGCAGCCCAUUACAACAAUCUAACCGAGAAAGAACAUGGCUGCGAAUCACAUGAUGUUAUGAAUCGUCAGAUACAUACUUCCUAAUCUGUGACACA